Molecule: ribosomal RNA, 496 nt
Filed under: uncultured bacterium
Lineage: Bacteria
Description: partial 16S ribosomal RNA
Rfam family: Bacterial small subunit ribosomal RNA
Source: RNAcentral
AUGAACGCUGGCGGCGUGCCUAAUACCUGCAAGUCGCGCGAACGGACGAGAAGCUUGCUUCUCUGAUGUUAGCGGCGGACGGGUGAGUAACACGUGGAUAACCUACCUAUAAGACUGGGAUAACUUCGGGAAACCGGAUCUAAUACCGGAUGAUAUUUUGAACCGCAUGGUUCAAAAGUGAAAGACGGUCUUGCUGUCACUUAUAGAUGGAUCCGCGCUGCAUUAGCUAGUUGGUAAGGUAACGGCUUACCAAGGCAACGAUGCAUAGCCGACCUGAGAGGGUGAUCGGCCACACUGGAACUGAGACACGGUCCAGACUCCUACGGGAGGCAGCAGUAGGGAAUCUUCCGCAAUGGGCGAAAGCCUGACGGAGCAACGCCGCGUGAGUGAUGAAGGUCUUCGGAUCGUAAAACUCUGUUAUUAGGGAAGAACAUAUGUGUAAGUAACUGUGCACAUCUUGACGGUACCUAAUCAGAAAGCCACGGCUAACUACGUG